RNAcentral lists this transfer RNA (67 nucleotides) under Scaeurgus unicirrhus. RNAcentral's name for it is "tRNA-Ile". Lineage: Eukaryota; Metazoa; Mollusca; Cephalopoda; Octopoda; Octopodidae. The record is from RNAcentral.
AGUAUAGCGCCGGAACGAACGGAUUAUAUUGAUGUUAUAAAUCAUAAGAUUAAAUUCUUCUAUACUU